This 74-nucleotide transfer RNA is filed under the name Rhodocyclaceae bacterium. RNAcentral's name for it is "tRNA-Gly". It matches the Rfam family "tRNA". Rfam says of the family: Transfer RNA (tRNA) molecules are approximately 80 nucleotides in length. Their secondary structure includes four short double-helical elements and three loops (D, anti-codon, and T loops). The record is from RNAcentral. Lineage: Bacteria; Pseudomonadati; Pseudomonadota; Betaproteobacteria; Rhodocyclales; Rhodocyclaceae.
GCGGGUGUAGUUCAAUGGCAGAACGGCAGCUUCCCAAGCUGCAUACGAGGGUUCGAUUCCCUUCACCUGCUCCA